UAUUUCCUACGGGGGGCAGCAGUGGGGGAUAUUGCACAAUGGGGGAAACCCUGCUGCAGCGACGCCGCGUGAGUGAAGAAGUAUUUCGGUAUGUAAAGCUCUAUCAGCAGGGAAGAAAAAAGACGGUACCUGACUAAGAAGCCCCGGCUAACUACGAGCCAGCAGCCGCGGUAAUACGUAGGGGGCAAGCGUUAUCCGGAUUUACUGGGUGUAAAGGGAGUGUAGACGGCAAUACAAGUCGGAAGUGAAAUACCCGGGCUCAACCUGGGAACUGAGUUGGAACCUGUAUGGCCG
RNAcentral lists this ribosomal RNA (294 nucleotides) under uncultured bacterium. RNAcentral describes it as "partial 16S ribosomal RNA". It matches the Rfam family "Bacterial small subunit ribosomal RNA", at positions 333 to 643 of the family's 1533-position model. The record is from RNAcentral.